RNAcentral lists this ribosomal RNA (492 nucleotides) under uncultured bacterium. RNAcentral describes it as "partial 16S ribosomal RNA". It matches the Rfam family "Bacterial small subunit ribosomal RNA", at positions 29 to 507 of the family's 1533-position model. The record is from RNAcentral.
AGUGAACGCUGGCGGUAGGCCUAACACAUGCAAGUCGAACGGCAGCACAGUAAGAGCUUGCUCUUACGGGUGGCGAGUGGCGGACGGGUGAGGAAUACAUCGGAAUCUACUUUUUCGUGGGGGUUAACGUAGGGAAACUUACGCUAAUACCGCAUACGACCUACGGGUGAAAGCAGGGGAUCUUCGGACCUUGCGCGAUUGAAUGAGCCGAUGUCGGAUUAGCUAGUUGGCGGGGUAAAGGCCCACCAAGGCGCCGGUACGUAGCUGGUCUGAGAGGAUGAUCAGCCACACUGGAACUGAGACACGGUCCAGACGCCUACGGGAGGCAGCAGUGGGGAAUAUUGGACAAUGGGCGCAAGCCUGAUCCAGCCAUACCGCGUGGGUGAAGAAGGCCUUCGGGUUGUAAAGCCCUUUUGUUGGGAAAGAAAAGCAGCAGGUUAAUACCCCGCUGUUCUGACGGUACCCAAAGAAUAAGCACCGGCUAACUUCGUG